GACGAACGCUGGCGGCGUGCUUAACACAUGCAAGUCGAACGGUAAGGCCCUGCUUUUGUGGGGUGCUCGAGUGGCGAACGGGUGAGUAACACGUGAGUAACCUGCCCUCGACUUUGGGAUAACUUCAGGAAACUGGGGCUAAUACCGGAUAGGAGCUCGUGCUGCAUGGUGGGGGUGGGAAAGUUUCGGCGGUUGGGGCUGGACUCGCGGCUGAUCAGCUUGUUGGUGGGGUGGUGGCUUACCAAGGCUUUGACGGGUAGCCGGCCUGAGAGGGUGACCGGCCACAUUGGGACUGGGAUACGGCCCAGACUACUACGGGAGGCAGCAGUGGGGAAUAUUGCACAAUGGGCGGAAGCCUGAUGCAGCAACGCCGCGUGCGGGAUGACGGCCUUCGGGUUGUAAACCGCUUUCGCCUGUGACGAAGCGUGAGUGACGGUAAUGGGUAAAGAAGCACCGGCUAACUACGUG
This 468-nucleotide ribosomal RNA is filed under the name uncultured bacterium. RNAcentral describes it as "partial 16S ribosomal RNA". It matches the Rfam family "Bacterial small subunit ribosomal RNA", at positions 28 to 507 of the family's 1533-position model. The record is from RNAcentral.